RNAcentral lists this ribosomal RNA (490 nucleotides) under uncultured bacterium. RNAcentral's name for it is "partial 16S ribosomal RNA". It matches the Rfam family "Bacterial small subunit ribosomal RNA", at positions 30 to 507 of the family's 1533-position model. The record is from RNAcentral.
AUUGAACGCUGGCGGCAGGCCUAACACAUGCAAGUCGAACGGUAACAGGAAGAAGCUUGCUUCUUUGCUGACGAGUGGCGGACGGGUGAGUCAUGUCUGGGAAACUGCCUGAUGGAGGGGGAUAACUACUGGAAACGGUAGCUAAUACCGCAUAACGUCGCAAGACCAAAAAGGGGGACCUUCGGGCCUCUUGCCAUCGGCUGUGCCCAGAUGGGAUUAGCUAGUAGGUGGGGUAACGGCUCACCUAGGCGACGAUCCCUAGCUGGUCUGAGAGGAUGACCAGCCACACUGGAACUGAGACACGGUCCAGACUCCUACGGGAGGCAGCAGUGGGGAAUAUUGCACAAUGGGCGCAAGCCUGAUGCAGCCAUGCCGCGUGUAUGAAGAAGGCCUUCGGGUUGUAAAGUACUUUCAGCGGGGAGGAAGGGAGUAAAGUUAAUACCUUUGCUCAUUGACGUUACCCACAGAAGAAGCACCGGCUAACUCCGUG